UACGAAGGGGGCUAGCGUUGUUCGGAAUUACUGGGCGUAAAGCGCGUGUAGGCGGUCCGGUAAGUCCGCUGUGAAAGUCGGGGGCUCAACCCUCGGAUGCCGGUGGAUACUGUCGGGCUUGAGUACGGAAGAGGCGAGUGGAAUUCCUGGUGUAGCGGUGAAAUGCGCAGAUAUCAGGAGGAACACCAAUUGCGAAGGCAGCUCGCUGGGACGUUACUGACGCUGAGACGCGAAAGCGUGGGGAGCAAACAGG
This 253-nucleotide ribosomal RNA is filed under the name uncultured bacterium. RNAcentral's name for it is "partial 16S ribosomal RNA". It matches the Rfam family "Bacterial small subunit ribosomal RNA", at positions 524 to 776 of the family's 1533-position model. The record is from RNAcentral.